RNAcentral lists this ribosomal RNA (204 nucleotides) under uncultured bacterium. RNAcentral describes it as "partial 16S ribosomal RNA". It matches the Rfam family "Bacterial small subunit ribosomal RNA", at positions 568 to 773 of the family's 1533-position model. The record is from RNAcentral.
CGCGUAGGCGGCCACCGCAAGUCAGUUGUGAAAUCUCUGGGCUUAACUCAGAAAGGUCAACUGAUACUGCGGGGCUAGAGUGCAGAAGGGGCAACUGGAAUUCUCGGUGUAGCGGUGAAAUGCGUAGAUAUCAAGAGGAACACCUGAGGUGAAGACGGGUUGCUGGGCUGACACUGACGCUGGAGGCGCAAGCAGGGAGCAACG